UACGUAGGGUGCAAGCGUUUGUCCGGAAUUAUUGGGCGUAAAGAGCUCGUAGGCGGUCUGUCGCGUCUGCUGUGAAAACCUGGGGCUUAACCCCGGGCCUGCAGUGGGUACGGGCAGACUAGAGUGCGGUAGGGGAGACUGGAAUUCCUGGUGUAGCGGUGAAAUGCGCAGAUAUCAGGAGGAACACCGGUGGCGAAGGCGGAUCUCUGGGCCAUUACUGACGCUGAGGAGCGAAAGCGUGGGGAGCGAACAGG
RNAcentral lists this ribosomal RNA (254 nucleotides) under uncultured bacterium. RNAcentral describes it as "partial 16S ribosomal RNA". It matches the Rfam family "Bacterial small subunit ribosomal RNA", at positions 524 to 776 of the family's 1533-position model. The record is from RNAcentral.